Molecule: ribosomal RNA, 497 nt
Filed under: uncultured bacterium
Lineage: Bacteria
Description: partial 16S ribosomal RNA
Rfam family: Bacterial small subunit ribosomal RNA
Source: RNAcentral
GAUGAACGCUGGCGGCGUGCCUAAUACAUGCAAGUCGAGCGAACAGACGAGGAGCUUGCUCCUCUGACGUUAGCGGCGGACGGGUGAGUAACACGUGGAUAACCUACCUAUAAGACUGGGAUAACUUCGGGAAACCGGAGCUAAUACCGGAUAAUAUAUUGAACCGCAUGGUUCAAUAGUGAAAGACGGUUUUGCUGUCACUUCUAGAUGGAUCCGCGCCGCAUUAGCUAGUUGGUAAGGUAACGGCUUACCAAGGCGACGAUGCGUAGCCGACCUGAGAGGGUGAUCGGCCACACUGGAACUGAGACACGGUCCAGACUCCUACGGGAGGCAGCAGUAGGGAAUCUUCCGCAAUGGGCGAAAGCCUGACGGAGCAACGCCGCGUGAGUGAUGAAGGUCUUCGGAUCGUAAAACUCUGUUAUUAGGGAAGAACAAAUGUGUAAGUAACUAUGCACGUCUUGACGGUACCUAAUCAGAAAGCCACGGCUAACUACGUG